This 558-nucleotide ribosomal RNA is filed under the name Trichoderma sp. MS49. RNAcentral's name for it is "eukaryotic LSU rRNA". The stretch from base 200 to 353 matches the Rfam family "5.8S ribosomal RNA". The record is from RNAcentral. Lineage: Eukaryota; Fungi; Ascomycota; Sordariomycetes; Hypocreales; Hypocreaceae.
GUUUACAACUCCCAAACCCAAUGUGAACGUUACCAAACUGUUGCCUCGGCGGGAUCUCUGCCCCGGGUGCGUCGCAGCCCCGGACCAAGGCGCCCGCCGGAGGACCAACCAAAACUCUUAUUGUAUACCCCCUCGCGGGUUUUUUUUUAUAAUCUGAGCCUUCUCGGCGCCUCUCGUAGGCGUUUCGAAAAUGAAUCAAAACUUUCAACAACGGAUCUCUUGGUUCUGGCAUCGAUGAAGAACGCAGCGAAAUGCGAUAAGUAAUGUGAAUUGCAGAAUUCAGUGAAUCAUCGAAUCUUUGAACGCACAUUGCGCCCGCCAGUAUUCUGGCGGGCAUGCCUGUCCGAGCGUCAUUUCAACCCUCGAACCCCUCCGGGGGGUCGGCGUUGGGGAUCGGCCCUCCCUCAGCGGGUGGCCGUCUCCGAAAUACAGUGGCGGUCUCGCCGCAGCCUCUCCUGCGCAGUAGUUUGCACACUCGCAUCGGGAGCGCGGCGCGUCCACAGCCGUUAAACACCCAACUUCUGAAAUGUUGACCUCGGAUCAGGUAGGAAUACCCGC